UACGGAGGGUGCAAACGUUGCUCGGAAUCAUUGGGCGUAAAGCGCACGUAGGCGGUCCGGUAAGUCGGAUGUGAAAUCCCUCGGCUCAACCGAGGAAGGGCAUCCGAAACUGCCGGGCUUGAGUACGGAAGAGGGUCUCGGAAUUCCCGGUGUAGAGGUGAAAUUCGUAGAUAUCGGGAGGAACACCAGUGGCGAAGGCGGAGACCUGGGCCGAUACUGACGCUGAGGUGCGAAAGCGUGGGGAGCAAACAGG
Molecule: ribosomal RNA, 253 nt
Filed under: uncultured bacterium
Lineage: Bacteria
Description: partial 16S ribosomal RNA
Rfam family: Bacterial small subunit ribosomal RNA
Source: RNAcentral